AUUGAACGCUGGCGGCAGGCCUAACACAUGCAAGUCGAGCGGAUGAAGGGAGCUUGCUCCUGGAUUCAGCGGCGGACGGGUGAGUAAUGCCUAGGAAUCUGCCUGGUAGUGGGGGAUAACGUCCGGAAACGGGCGCUAAUACCGCAUACGUCCUGAGGGAGAAAGUGGGGGAUCUUCGGACCUCACGCUAUCAGACGAGCCUAGGUCGGAUUAGCUAGUUGGUGGGGUAAAGGCCUACCAAGGCGACGAUCCGUAACUGGUCUGAGAGGAUGAUCAGUCACACUGGAACUGAGACACGGUCCAGACUCCUACGGGAGGCAGCAGUGGGGAAUAUUGGACAAUGGGCGAAAGCCUGAUCCAGCCAUGCCGCGUGUGUGAAGAAGGUCUUCGGAUUGUAAAGCCCUUUAAGUUGGGAGGAAGGGCAGUAAGUUAAUACCUUGCUGUUUUGACGUUACCAACAGAAUAAGCACCGGCUAACUUCGUG
This 484-nucleotide ribosomal RNA is filed under the name uncultured bacterium. RNAcentral describes it as "partial 16S ribosomal RNA". It matches the Rfam family "Bacterial small subunit ribosomal RNA", at positions 30 to 507 of the family's 1533-position model. The record is from RNAcentral.